GAAGCAAAUGAUGAUAGCAAGACAGGGACAUCAGAACCCUCCGGGGUAAUGACAGACUACGUCUAUAAUGGGAAUCUCUCUGAUGUUUU
Brachypodium distachyon (stiff brome) is the source of this 89-nucleotide non-coding RNA. The record is from Rfam. Lineage: Eukaryota; Viridiplantae; Streptophyta; Magnoliopsida; Poales; Poaceae.